CCUACGGGAGGCAGCAGUGGGGAAUAUUGCACAAUGGGGGAAACCCUGAUGCAGCGACGCCGCGUGAGUGAAGAAGUAAUUCGUUACGUAAAGCUCUAUCAGCAGGGAAGAAACACUGACCUUACGGUCAGCAGACGGUACCUGAGUAAGAAGCCCCGGCUAACUACGUGCCAGCAGCCGCGGUAAUACGUAGGGGGCAAGCGGUAUCCGGAUUUACUGGGUGUAAAGGGAGCGUAGAGGGUGCGCCAAGUAUGGAGUGAAAUUGCGAAGCUUAACUGCGGAACUGCUUUGGAAACUGGCGAACUAGAGUGCGGGAGGGGGAAGCGGAAUUCCUAGUGUAGCGGUGAAAUGCGUAGAUAUUAGGAGGAACACCGGUGGCGAAGGCGGCUUACUGGACCGUAACUGACGUUGAGGCUCGAAAGCGUGGGGAGCAAACAGGAUUAGAUACCCCUGUAGUC
RNAcentral lists this ribosomal RNA (458 nucleotides) under uncultured bacterium. RNAcentral describes it as "partial 16S ribosomal RNA". It matches the Rfam family "Bacterial small subunit ribosomal RNA", at positions 338 to 795 of the family's 1533-position model. The record is from RNAcentral.